This is a long non-coding RNA of Protopterus annectens (West African lungfish), 852 nucleotides long. RefSeq lists it as uncharacterized. NCBI's taxonomy places the organism in Eukaryota, Metazoa, Chordata, Ceratodontiformes, Protopteridae. The transcript is spliced from 2 exons. The record is from RefSeq and is a predicted model, not a curated record.
GCGUGAGGGAGGGAGAGAGAGAGAGAGAGAGCGCAAAGAGAAAGACAGAGGUGGAUCCUGGACAGAAACCUCUCUUCUUCACAGCUACCAGACAAUAGAGGGUUAGAAGAACAAUGUCCUGACUGAUGUCUACGUGUCAGUUUCAGUCCACAAAGAUACUUGCUGGAUUUUUGGAGGGAACCAUUUUGCGAUGAAGCACUCCUUUCGAAGACGGGUAUUCUUGGGUAGAUAAUACGGAUUGCGUUGUUAUUGCUUGAGAAUACGCGUAGUUGAGGGGAGAUGUGUUCUUCAGUUUGUCUGUCAUUUUAUUUGAAUUCCUGUGAAACGGCUUCUCACCAUCAGCUGGCACCCCCUGAAAAUUAUUGUUUUUCUUAUAAGAAUGAGACCUAGUUUGCAAGACAGCCAAAUGACAAAUGUGCUUAUUGUGGGAAUGUAUCGUUUCUUUAACAUGUAUCUGGAAACGUGAUUUUUUUUUUCUUUUUGUAACAAUUCACUGAACAAAAGACAACACAAUGAUCAACAGGGCAAUUAAACUAUUAAUUACAGUAUAAAGCUAGCAGUCCUUCUAUUUAAAGAUGAAAGUCUGGCAUGAAGCAGAAUGGUAAGAUAGUUACCUGAAAUGUUUUGUAGUUUAAUAUAAACAGCAGAAUUGUCUUUGUGUUUUAUAAUUAAAAUGUUUAUUUUAAUAAUAAGCUUUAUUUUCCUUAUUGUGUUAUAAAAUGACAUUUUGGAUGACUCUGUCUUUCAAGAGUGUUUAAAUACAAUAUGACAAAUAUAUGUUAGCACUUUUUGAUAUGUUACCCAAGAUUUCUUUUGUCUUCACUGAGAGAUUAAAAAAGUCUAUGCAUAUGA